AAGGAAUAUUGCUCAAUGGGAGAAAUCCUGAAGCAGCAACGCCGCGUGGAGGAUGAAGGGUCUAUGACUUGUAAACUCCUGUAAAGAAGGAAAAAAUUCCCAUUAGAUGGGAGAUGAUGGUACUUCUGGAGUAAGCCCCGGCUAACUACGUGCCAGCAGCCGCGGUAAUAAGUAGGGGGCAAGCGUUGUCCGGAUUUACUGGGUGUAAAGGGUGCUCAGGCGGAUUUGUAAGUCAGAGGUGAAAUCUUACAGCUUAACUGUGAAACUGCCUUUGAUACUGCAAGCCUAGAGUAUGGAAGAGAGUGAUGGAAUAUCUGGUGUAGCAGUGAAAUGCGUAGAUAUCAGAUAGAACACCAAUGGCGAAGGCAGUCACUUGGUCCAUUACUGACGCUAAAGCACGAAAGCGUG
Molecule: ribosomal RNA, 408 nt
Filed under: uncultured bacterium
Lineage: Bacteria
Description: bacterial SSU rRNA
Rfam family: Bacterial small subunit ribosomal RNA
Source: RNAcentral